GAUGAACGCUAGCUACAGGCUUAACACAUGCAAGUCGAGGGGCAGCAUGACCUAGCAAUAGGUUGAUGGCGACCGGCGCGCGGGUGAGUAACACGUAUCCAACCUGCCGAUUAUUCCGGGAUAGCCUUUCGAAAGAAAGAUUAAUACUGGAUAGCAUAACGAGAAGGCAUCUUCUUGUUAUUAAAGAAUUUCGAUAAUCGAUGGGGAUGCGUUCCAUUAGUUUGUUGGCGGGGUAACGGCCCACCAAGACAUCGAUGGAUAGGGGUUCUGAGAGGAAGGUCCCCCACAUUGGAACUGAGACACGGUCCAAACUCCUACGGGAGGCAGCAGUGAGGAAUAUUGGUCAAUGGACGAGAGUCUGAACCAGCCAAGUAGCGUGAAGGAUGACUGCCCUAUGGGUUGUAAACUUCUUUUAUAUGGGAAUAAAGUGGGCCACGUGUGGCUUUUUGUAUGUACCAUACGAAUAAGGAUCGGCUAACUCCGUG
Molecule: ribosomal RNA, 485 nt
Filed under: uncultured bacterium
Lineage: Bacteria
Description: partial 16S ribosomal RNA
Rfam family: Bacterial small subunit ribosomal RNA
Source: RNAcentral